Molecule: long non-coding RNA, 589 nt
Filed under: Gossypium barbadense (sea-island cotton)
Lineage: Eukaryota; Viridiplantae; Streptophyta; Magnoliopsida; Malvales; Malvaceae
Description: long non-coding RNA (GBAR_LNC016547)
Source: RNAcentral
UAUUUAUAGUUGAGCCUCCCCAAAUCCAACGGUACAGAUCAAUUACAUCAACGACUGAGAUUAAAUGGUAUCUACAAAUUAAAUCUCUAAGAUUACAAAAUCAUAUCUUCUAAAAUUGCAUAUCAUAUCUAAGAUUGCAUAUCAUAUCUAAGAUUGCAUAUCCCUGAAGAUUAUGUUUCCAUAAGCUUGUAGAUGGACCUUCAACCUUUUCAAGUAAUGGGCAAUUCCGAUCGGGCCAAAUGAUAUUACUUUGAGUUUUUUUUUGUGAGCCCGAGCGAAAAUUGGGUAUUACAAAUUUGAGUGAAAAGUUGUCGUUCCAUAAACAAUCCAAAUUCCUCAACUUCAGAACAAAUAAAUAAUUUCUUUUUGAAAAUAUAUUGUUUUGCUUCUCAAUCCCUAUAAAUAAAUAACAUUAUAAAAAUAACUAAAGUAACCCUAUAAUAUUGUUAAGCUUAAUCUAAAGUUUUUCAGGGUUGUUGGGUUUCCUCUUCAUCUUCCUAUUUUUCUUCUUCUCCCACUUCAACUUCAACUUCUUCUUUGCUUUUCUCUUUUUAUUUUUUAUUUAGCUUUGGCUUUAACUAAAUAACCC